AGAGAACAACAUCUUUGUGAUCAGAUUAAUCAACGUUUGAUGGAUAAGGAGGUUAAGACUCAGAGAAGCUGGGUAGAAUAGACUUCUCAAAUUUCUAAUACACCAUCAUUGGAACUAUAAAAUUAGGUGUGGAAACUGACAACUCAAAGGUGAUACCUAACUUUUCUUCAGGCCCCAAGCUGGCAGGUGGCAGAACUGGGGUGCUUCUGAGAUGUCAGCUUUGUGGGAAUUCCACACAUGGAAGAUUGCCAGGAGCAGAAGCAUGUGACUCGAUGUCUUUUCCUGGAGUGGACACAUCCUGUAACCACCUCCCUAGGACAAGAAAGAGGAUACGGCCAACUUUCCCCGCUGCCCCGUGAAAUGCCCUCACAGACACACCCAGAAAUAAUGUUUUACCAGCUAUCUGGGCAUCCCUUGGCCCAGUCAAACUGACACAUAAAAUUAACCAUCACAGUAAGUAUUCACCAUAAUUUUCUUUCCUUCUAGGCUUCUGUAUAUUUUAACUUAGACUUAUGGCAGGAAACUGGGUUUGCGUGAGUUUUGCAUGGGAAAGUAAAUAAAGUUAGACUAUCUUCUAGGAGUUUUCAUAUAGCACUCAGCAGUUUGCUCAUGUGCCCAGGGCUGAAAUUUGUUACUGCAUCUUAAUUCCAGAACCCAUGAUCAAGGCCCAUCCUGGGUUUAAAGGGGAACCUAUAAGGUGAGAAGCUUUUUGGACAUAGGACAAGUGUUCAGAUGAAACACCUGCUUCCCACCAAGAAUCUUCAAAACCAAUUUCAUCUCCUACUUUUGACCCCUUCAGUCACUGUUCUACAGAGGUUUUGUUUGUUUUGUUUUGUUUUUAAUCUCCUUCAAUACCGUAUAUCUCGUGCCUCAUUCUGUCUCUCCAUUCCUACUUCCUAUUGUCCUAGUUCAAGACCUUAUCACAUCUUACUUGGGCUGUGGCAUUUGCGGGACACCUAGUCUCCAUUUCCUCCUCUUCUCAGCCAUCCAAGUGCUCGCUCUAAGAUGGAAAGCUGGCCACAUUUGUCCCUUGUUGAGCAGCGUUUGGUGGCUCUCCAUUGCUUUACCAGACGAUGUCCAGGCUCAUCACCAUGGCACAUGACUUCUCCCAUGACCCAGCUCUUGCUUACUUCUCCAGCUUACUCUCCUGCUCCACUCUCAUCUUUUGCUUCACACUCCAGCAGCUCUAACUGCUUACGGUUCCCAGUGUAUAUCCUGGGGUUCUUUUGUCCCAGCUUUUUUGUAGGCUGAUCUGAGAAAGAUCUGGAAUAGACUGUCCAUGUCCUUCUCCUGGAUAAUCCAUUCUUUAAUGAUCAGCUCAGGCCAUAUACCCUUGACCCUACCCGGCGGGGGCUGCAUGGUCUCCUUUCUGCCCAUACCUCUGUCCCUGUGACUAGACUGUAGGGUCUUUGCAGGCAGGGUCCAGGUCUUAGUCAUCUUUGUACAUCCGUAACUUGCUGUGUGCUGGUAGAUGACAGUUGCUCAAUAAACAUUUAUAGCUUCAAACAGAAAGAACAACAGUGACUAGUUGACUGGUUUGAGUUUCAUUUCAUCUCCUUUCAGAAGCCAGAGAUGGAAUAAAAUGGCCAAAGUAGCGCGACCAGAAGGGAGGGAGGAAGGCAGUGGCUAUGGAAAGUCUGCAGAUACAAUCUCUUCCUGCGGGACUGAAUUCAGUCCAAAUGAUUAAAAGUCUCUUGUGAUGGAAUCCGCUUUUUGUAGAAUGGAUUAGUAACAAGGAUUUUCUCUAAAGAUAGAUUUUUUUCCAGAGAAACAAAUUUGAACAAUUUACUCGAAGAAUUUAAAUGCAAAAGUAAUCCUACUUAAAAGGCAAAUUGACCACUAUCCUUCCUCCUUUCUCUUAUUAGUAAAAGAGUUUACACAGAAACUCUAUAAGAAAUUGUGUAAGAGAUUCACAAGGAUCAUUAAGGUCUCUCCUAGACAGUCACUUUCACUUUGUAAAAUUGGCCAUCCCCUCAAAAUGGUAUCACAUUAAAAUGGACUUUCUGGGGCUCUUAUAUGUGAAUGGGUUUUAGCUGCACAGUGGUGCCAUUCAUUUUAUUUGGCCCAUUUAUUGCCAAGUACAUUCUAAAUUUGGCCUUAAUUAUUUUUCCUUUCACAAAAAUAUUUUGUGGGAUCUUUUUGAACCCUGACUACUUCCUUCUUGCCCCUUAAAACAGAAUCCAGGAGUGUUAUUUUUGUUCUCUUCUAAUUAAAAUAAUUGCUCGGUUCCUUUUAACUAGAUUCAUGCAGUUAUUAGCCUAAUACAUGGAUGGGUGCCAUGGGGUGCUUGAGAAACAAAAUGAAAAGUGAUCAUGUAGCUUCACAUGAAAAAGGUUCUGUGGUGCCAAAGAGCAUUAUUUCCUUUCAGCCGGCAUUUUAUAAGGGCCUUUAGUAAACCUGGCCCCCCGUACCCUUCCUAAAAGACUAUUAAGUGAAAGAAUAGUUCUGUUUUCUUUAUUAGGUAGACAGCUAACUCAGUACAAUUUGAAGAGGGGCACUUGAUAUGCCGGGUAUGGCACAAAGACCUGGGGUCUGGUUUUAAUGUCUGUCCCUGCUUUGUCUUGCAG
Molecule: long non-coding RNA, 2567 nt
Organism: Equus caballus (horse)
Lineage: Eukaryota; Metazoa; Chordata; Mammalia; Perissodactyla; Equidae
Source: Ensembl